UCCGUGUUAACCACGGCAGUCCCUCUAGAGUGCCCAACUUAAUGCUGGCAACUAAAGGCAAGGGUUGCGCUCGUUGCGGGACUUAACCCAACAUGUCACCACACGAGCUGACGACAGCCAUGCAGCACCUGUCUCCCGGUUGUAUUGCUACAAAAGACGUAUUUCUACGUUUGUCCGGGGAUGUCAAACCCAGGUAAGGUUUUGCGCGUUGCUUCGAAUUAAACCACAUGAUCCACCGCUUGUGCGGGCCCCCGUCAAUUCCUUUGAGUUUUAGCCUUGCGGCCGUUCUCCCCAGGCGGAGAACUUAUCGCGUUAGCUUCGCUACUUGCCAUUUUAAAAUGACCAACAGCUAGUUCUCAUCGUUUACGGCGUGGACUAC
RNAcentral lists this unclassified non-coding RNA (379 nucleotides) under uncultured Oligoflexales bacterium. RNAcentral describes it as "contains 16S-23S intergenic spacer region". Lineage: Bacteria; Pseudomonadati; Bdellovibrionota; Oligoflexia; Oligoflexales. The record is from RNAcentral.